AAGAGAUUAGUUAAAAUAAUAUAGGGUUGUCAUCUCUAAGUUACUAUUUACUCAUAGUAUCUCUUU
RNAcentral lists this transfer RNA (66 nucleotides) under Hanleyella oldroydi. RNAcentral's name for it is "tRNA-Asp". Lineage: Eukaryota; Metazoa; Mollusca; Polyplacophora; Lepidopleurida; Lepidopleuridae. The record is from RNAcentral.